This 439-nucleotide ribosomal RNA is filed under the name uncultured bacterium. RNAcentral describes it as "partial 16S ribosomal RNA". It matches the Rfam family "Bacterial small subunit ribosomal RNA", at positions 339 to 795 of the family's 1533-position model. The record is from RNAcentral.
CUACGGGGCGCAGCAGUGGGGAAUAUUGCACAAUGGACGAAAGUCUGAUGCAGCAACGCCGCGUGGAGGAUGACACAUUUCGGUGCGUAAACUCCUUUUAUAUAGGAAGAUAAUGACGGUACUAUAUGAAUAAGCACCGGCUAACUCCGUGCCAGCAGCCGCGGUAAUACGGAGGGUGCAAGCGUUACUCGGAAUCACUGGGCGUAAAGAGCGUGUAGGCGGGUAGUUAAGUCAGAAGUGAAAUCCAAUAGCUCAACUAUUGAACUGCUUUUGAAACUGAUUACCUAGAAUAUGGGAGAGGUAGAUGGAAUUUCUGGUGUAGGGGUAAAAUCCGUAGAGAUCAGAAGGAAUACCGAUUGCGAAGGCGAUCUACUGGAACAUUAUUGACGCUGAGACGCGAAAGCGUGGGGAGCAAACAGGAUUAGAUACCCGCGUAGUC